AGUCGAGGGGCAUCGGGGCGAGGAGCAAUCCUUGCCGCCGGCGACCGGCGCACGGGUGAGUAACGCGUAUGCGACCUGCCCGUUGCAGGGGGAUAAUCGGGAGAAAUCCCGUCUAAUACCGCGUAACGCCGCGGGGCUGCAUGGCCCUGCGGCCAAAGGAAGCGAUUCCGGCAACGGAUGGGCAUGCGUGACAUUAGCUAGUUGGCGGGGCAACGGCCCACCAAGGCGACGAUGUCUAGGGGUUCUGAGAGGAAGGUCCCCCACACUGGUACUGUGACACGGACCAGACUCCUACGGGAGGCAGCAGUGAGGAAUAUUGGUCAAUGGGCGCGAGCCUGAACCAGCCAAGUCGCGUGAGGGAUGACGGCCCUACGGGUUGCAAACCUCUUUUGUCGGGGAGCAAAUUCCGCCACGCGUGGCGGAGUCGAGAGUACCCGAAGAAAAAGCAUCGGCUAACUCCGUGCCAGCAGCCGCGGUAAUACGGAGGAUGCGAGCGUUAUCCGGAUUUAUUGGGUUUAAAGGGUGCGUAGGCGGACUGUCAAGUCAGCGGUAAAAUACGGGGGCUCAACCUCCGCCCGCCGUUGAAACUGACGGUCUUGAGUGGGCGAGAAGUAUGCGGAAUGCGUGGUGUAGCGGUGAAAUGCAUAGAUAUCACGCAGAACUCCGAUUGCGAAGGCAGCAUACCGGCGCCCAACUGACGCUGAAGCACGAAAGCGUGGGUAUCGAACAGGAUUAGAUACCCUGGUAGUCCACGCAGUAAACGAUGAAUACUAGCUGUCCGGGGCGAAUGGGCCCUGGGUGGCACAGCGAAAGCGUUAAGUAUUCCACCUGGGGAGUACGCCGGCCACGGUGAAACUCAAAGGAAUUGAC
Molecule: ribosomal RNA, 870 nt
Filed under: uncultured bacterium
Lineage: Bacteria
Description: bacterial SSU rRNA
Rfam family: Bacterial small subunit ribosomal RNA
Source: RNAcentral